GGAAGUAAAGUCGUAACAAGGUUUCCGUAGGUGAACCUGCGGAAGGAUCAUUAUUGUAUAACCGAGGUGCGAGGGCUGUCGCUGACCCGAAAGGUCGUGCACGCCCGAGUGCCCUCACACACAUCCAUCUCACCCCUAUGUGCACCACCGCGUGGGUCCCCCUUUGGCUUGUUCGGAGGGGGGCUUACGUUUUCACACAAACUUUGUAUGCAGUGUAGAAUGUAUUUUUUGUUUUUGCGAUCACGCAAUCAAUACAACUUUCAACAACGGAUCUCUUGGCUCUU
This 284-nucleotide unclassified non-coding RNA is filed under the name plant metagenome. RNAcentral's name for it is "partial contains small subunit ribosomal RNA, internal transcribed spacer 1, and 5.8S ribosomal RNA". The stretch from base 1 to 53 matches the Rfam family "Eukaryotic small subunit ribosomal RNA", at positions 1778 to 1831 of the family's 1831-position model. The record is from RNAcentral.